CCUACGGGUGGCAGCAGUGAGGAAUAUUGGUCAAUGGCCGGAAGGCUGAACCAGCCAAGCCGCGUGAGGGAGGAAGGCGCAGAGCGUCGCAGACCUCUUUUGCCGGGGGACAAAAGGCCGGACGGGUCCGGUUCUGAGGGUACCCGGAGAAAAAGCAUCGGCUAACUCCGUGCCAGAAGCCGCGGUAAUACGGAGGAUGCGAGCGUUAUCCGGAUUCAUUGGGUUUAAAGGGUGCGCAGGCGGGCCUUUAAGCCGGCGGUGAAAUCGGGGGGCUCAACCCCGCCGAGCCGUGGGAACUGGGGGCCUUGAGUGCGGCGGAGGCAUGCGGAAUGCGCGGUGUAGCGGUGAAAUGCGUAGAUAUUAGGAGGAACACCAGUGGCGAAGGCGACUUUCUGGACUGUACCUGACGCUGAGGCGCGAAAGCGUGGGUAGCGAACGGGAUUAGAUACCCGUGUAGUC
Molecule: ribosomal RNA, 459 nt
Filed under: uncultured bacterium
Lineage: Bacteria
Description: partial 16S ribosomal RNA
Rfam family: Bacterial small subunit ribosomal RNA
Source: RNAcentral